This 742-nucleotide ribosomal RNA is filed under the name Vibrio parahaemolyticus. Its description in RNAcentral is "partial 23S ribosomal RNA". It matches the Rfam family "Bacterial large subunit ribosomal RNA", at positions 2207 to 2925 of the family's 2925-position model. The record is from RNAcentral. Lineage: Bacteria; Pseudomonadati; Pseudomonadota; Gammaproteobacteria; Vibrionales; Vibrionaceae.
UGUAGUGUUGAUGUUCUAACGUCGACCCCUUAUCGGGGUUGCGGACAGUGCCUGGUGGGUAGUUUGACUGGGGCGGUCUCCUCCCAAAGAGUAACGGAGGAGCACGAAGGUGGGCUAAUCACGGUUGGACAUCGUGAGGUUAGUGCAAUGGCAUAAGCCCGCUUGACUGCGAGAAUGACAAUUCGAGCAGGUGCGAAAGCAGGUCAUAGUGAUCCGGUGGUUCUGAAUGGAAGGGCCAUCGCUCAACGGAUAAAAGGUACUCCGGGGAUAACAGGCUGAUACCGCCCAAGAGUUCAUAUCGACGGCGGUGUUUGGCACCUCGAUGUCGGCUCAUCACAUCCUGGGGCUGAAGUCGGUCCCAAGGGUAUGGCUGUUCGCCAUUUAAAGUGGUACGCGAGCUGGGUUUAGAACGUCGUGAGACAGUUCGGUCCCUAUCUGCCGUGGGCGUUGGAAGAUUGAAGGGGGCUGCUCCUAGUACGAGAGGACCGGAGUGGACGAACCUCUGGUGUUCGGGUUGUGUCGCCAGACGCAUUGCCCGGUAGCUAAGUUCGGAAUCGAUAACCGCUGAAAGCAUCUAAGCGGGAAGCGAGCCCUGAGAUGAGUCUUCCCUGAUACUUUAAGUAUCCUAAAGGGUUGUCGGAGACUACGACGUUGAUAGGUCAGGUGUGUAAGUGCUGUGAGGCAUUGAGCUAACUGAUACUAAUUGCCCGUGAGGCUUAACCAUACAACACCCAAGGGGUUU